Molecule: ribosomal RNA, 253 nt
Filed under: uncultured bacterium
Lineage: Bacteria
Description: partial 16S ribosomal RNA
Rfam family: Bacterial small subunit ribosomal RNA
Source: RNAcentral
GACAGAGGGGGCAAGCGUUGCUCGGAAUUACUGGGCGUAAAGCGCGUUCAGGCGGUUUGGCAAGUCGGGCAUGAAAUCUCUGGGCUCAACCCGGAGAGGUUGUCCGAUACUGCUAAACAGGAGGGCAGUAGAGGGUGGUGGAAUUCCGGGUGUAGUGGUGAAAUGCGUAGAGAUCCGGAGGAACACCAGUGGCGAAAGCGGCCACCUGGACUGCACCUGACGCUGAAACGCGAAAGCUAGGGGAGCGAACGGG